GCCGAGGUGGCAGAGCGGACUAACGCGGCAGGCUCGAGACCUUCUGGUAAGCUAGGGUUCAAAUCCCUACCUCGGCG
This 77-nucleotide transfer RNA is filed under the name Candidatus Methanoperedens sp. Its description in RNAcentral is "tRNA-Ser". It matches the Rfam family "tRNA". Rfam says of the family: Transfer RNA (tRNA) molecules are approximately 80 nucleotides in length. The record is from RNAcentral. Lineage: Archaea; Methanobacteriati; Methanobacteriota; Methanomicrobia; Methanosarcinales; Candidatus Methanoperedentaceae.